Molecule: long non-coding RNA, 621 nt
Organism: Centruroides sculpturatus (bark scorpion)
Lineage: Eukaryota; Metazoa; Arthropoda; Arachnida; Scorpiones; Buthidae
Exons: 4
Source: RefSeq, a predicted model, not a curated record
UAAUGUCUCAAUUAUGAUAGAUAUAUACUGAUUGUGUGGUGUUUAUUAAAGCAAAAAUUAUGUAAAAAUUUAGGUAUUAUUAUUUAUGCAUUUACAGUCAUUUUAGAUUGGUAAUUUUUGUUGUGUGUUCAUGUUUAUAUACAGUAUAUAUGCUACACUACACUUUAUUAAAUUCCUGUUUAUUUUUAAUUUAUUCAUUUAAAAAAAUGACUUUUUCAGGCAUCAGAUAACAAAGGUAAAAAACAGAAAAGAAAUAAGGUGGAUUGUUUAGCAGAAAAAGCAAAAGUUUUGAGAGAGACAAAAAUAAUUCCUCAGCUAAUCUUUGCUAUAGAACAAUAUGAACGUCAUUUAAUCCAACUGUCUAAGAAAUCAAAAGUUAAUUUGAUGGAGCACAUUAAAUUAGCCACUUCUCGUGAUUUUCGUAUUAAUAUCGAAACGGUACAAGCUGCACUAGAAAAUGAAUCUCAGAGCGACAAUUCUGAGGAUUUAGAAAAUACAGAUCCCGACAAACAGACUGGAGAAAAUUGUUCUUCGGAAUCGGCAUCAUCAAAAAAUAAGAGAAAGAAAACUACAAAAAAAGUAGUAAUAUUCUGAAAACAUUUAUUGUAAUAUUUUUUUACA